RNAcentral lists this unclassified non-coding RNA (160 nucleotides) under uncultured Oidiodendron. RNAcentral's name for it is "sequence contains ITS1". The record is from RNAcentral. Lineage: Eukaryota; Fungi; Ascomycota; Leotiomycetes; Myxotrichaceae.
CAGAGUUCUCGCCCUCGCGGGUAGAUCUCCCACCCACUGUUAUUGCUACCGUGUUGCUUUGGCGGGCUGCUGGGCCUAGCCCGGCCGCCGGCUGGUACGCGCCCGCCAGAGGACCCCAAACUCUGAAUGUUAGUGUCGUCUGAGUACUAUACAAUAGUUA